RNAcentral lists this ribosomal RNA (457 nucleotides) under uncultured bacterium. RNAcentral describes it as "partial 16S ribosomal RNA". It matches the Rfam family "Bacterial small subunit ribosomal RNA", at positions 338 to 795 of the family's 1533-position model. The record is from RNAcentral.
CCUACGGGUGGCAGCAGUGGGGAAUAUUGCACAAUGGGGGAAACCCUGAUGCAGCGACGCCGCGUGAGUGAAGAAGUAUUUCGGUACGUAAAGCUCUAUCAGCAGGGAAGAAAAAAAGUCCUUUGGACUUUGGACGGUACCUGACCAAGAAGCCCCGGCUAACCCCGUGCCAGCAGCCGCGGUAAUACGUAGGGGGCAAGCGUUAUCCGGAUUUCCUGGGUGGAAAGGGAGCGUAGACGGGAGGGCAAGUCUGGAGUGAAAUGCCGGGGCCCAACCCCGGAACUGCUUUGGAAACUGUGCAGCUAGAGUGCAGGAGAGGAAGGCGGAAUUCCGAGUGUAGCGGUGAAAUGCGUAGAUAUUAGGAAGAACACCAGUGGCGAAGGCAGCUUACUGGACUGUAACUGACGUUGAGGCUCGAAAGCGUGGGGAGCAAACAGGAUUAGAUACCCUAGUAGUC